RNAcentral lists this ribosomal RNA (443 nucleotides) under uncultured Flavobacterium sp. RNAcentral describes it as "bacterial SSU rRNA". It matches the Rfam family "Bacterial small subunit ribosomal RNA", at positions 389 to 829 of the family's 1533-position model. The record is from RNAcentral. Lineage: Bacteria; Pseudomonadati; Bacteroidota; Flavobacteriia; Flavobacteriales; Flavobacteriaceae.
CAGCCAUGCCGCGUGCAGGAAGACUGCCCUAUGGGUUGUAAACUGCUUUUAUACAGGAAGAAUAGACCUUACGUGUAAGGUGAUGACGGUACUGUAAGAAUAAGGACCGGCUAACUCCGUGCCAGCAGCCGCGGUAAUACGGAGGGUCCGAGCGUUAUCCGGAAUUAUUGGGUUUAAAGGGUCCGUAGGCGGAUCAUUAAGUCAGGGGUGAAAUUUUGCAGCUCAACUGUAAAAUUGCCUUUGAUACUGGUUAUCUUGAGUUGUAUUGAAGUAGGCGGAAUAUGUAGUGUAGCGGUGAAAUGCAUAGAUAUUACAUAGAACACCAAUUGCGAAGGCAGCUUACUAAGUACUAACUGACGCUGAUGGACGAAAGCGAGGGUAGCGAACAGGAUUAGAUACCCUGGUAGUCCACGCCGUAAACGAUGGUUACUAGCUGUUCGGGG